GAGGUGGGAGGAGCACCUGAGUCUGGGAGGUUGAGGCUGCAGUGAGCUGAGAUCGUGCCACUGCACUCCAGCCUGAGUGACAGAGUAAGACUCUGUCUCA
MicroRNA precursor from Colobus angolensis palliatus, 100 nucleotides. The record is from Ensembl. Lineage: Eukaryota; Metazoa; Chordata; Mammalia; Primates; Cercopithecidae.